Lagenorhynchus albirostris (white-beaked dolphin) is the source of this 984-nucleotide long non-coding RNA. RefSeq lists it as uncharacterized. The transcript is spliced from 2 exons. NCBI's taxonomy places the organism in Eukaryota, Metazoa, Chordata, Mammalia, Artiodactyla, Delphinidae. The record is from RefSeq and is a predicted model, not a curated record.
GGGGUGGAGGAGGGAGGAAGGACGGAGAGGGGUGGACGAACCCCCAUCUAAGUCUACGGAUAAUGCUUUGUCGUUCUAAUGCUGAGCCCUAACUUGACAGAGGACAGAGAGGUGCUGAGCGAUUUUUUCAUGACCUGUUGGAAUUUGGUACAGCUUUAAUAGUCUCAUUAGAAAUGAGUUACUAUAUGACUACCCAGAGGCUCGACUGGAGAGAAAGAAGGGUCCGAGUGUGUGUAAAUGGUUUCUGGGCUCCAAACGGCCACAGUUAGCCCAGAACUUCCAGCCCUGAUCUAGGAAAAGAACAUUUGAUGCCAUCAAAGGGCUGCAGAUUGAAACCAGAUGUGCUCGCCUCGGUUCUUUCCAUGCAUUUAAUUAAGGAGCCGGGAUGGAGGAGACUUUUUCAUCAUUAGCCCACCCACUCCCUCCCUCCUCUUUCCAUCCCUUCGCCCUCCCCCGCGGCCCGCUCGCACCCGGACCGGGAGCCCCAGAGCCCAGCCAGCGCCGCGUGGUGCGCAGAGCCCGUCGCUCCGUCUCCCCAGUGGUCGGGGCUCUAAGCAGUAAACAUCUGUCCGCGUCUGGGCUGGGGCGAGCUGCGCGGCAGGGCUAGCGGGAUGCCGGUGGGAGACGGCCGAGCUCCCAGGUGGGCCCGCCGGAGUGGGAGCGUUGCAGGCGGGUGCCUUGCGCGGAGAUUUCCAAAACCGUUGGUUGCGCGCGCCUAAGCCGAGCGCACAUGUGUCAGUGCCACCGGCUGGAAUGGACGUGACUUAAUCGCAUAGAGAGGUUUUCAGCCGGCGUCCCGCUGCAUGAGCUUAGGUGAAAGGGCUGAGGGGCCGGCCGUUUCUCCCUUCUCUCCACGCCCCGCGAGGCACGGCUGGGAAUGUCCCCGCUGCCGAGUCAGCCUCUUCGAAUCUUCCCAGAAAUGGAGCAGGCCCUAGCCUUUCCCUCCUUCUCCACCCUCAUUACACAGUUGUAUUUUAAUGUUUC